RNAcentral lists this ribosomal RNA (253 nucleotides) under uncultured bacterium. RNAcentral's name for it is "partial 16S ribosomal RNA". It matches the Rfam family "Bacterial small subunit ribosomal RNA", at positions 524 to 776 of the family's 1533-position model. The record is from RNAcentral.
UACGUAUGGUGCAAGCGUUAUCCGGAUUUACUGGGUGUAAAGGGAGCGCAGGCGGCGCGGCAAGUCCGAUGUGAAAACCCCCGGCUCAACCGGGGGACUGCAUUGGAAACUACCGGGCUGGAGUGCCGGAGAGGUAGGCGGAAUUCCUGGUGUAGCGGUGAAAUGCGUAGAUAUCAGGAGGAACGCCAGUGGCGAAGGCGGCCUACUGGACGGUGACUGACGCUGAGGCUCGAAAGCGUGGGGAGCAAACAGG